CUGCACGGACACGUACACCGCCGUGUUUGUGCACCUCCACGACAUUUCCACCGCUGCACAUCUGCCGCGGAACCACAACUGAAAGUCGCUGAAAUGAGCUCUUGUGGUGACUUGUUGGGAUCAAACCUGAUUAUCGGAUGACAUCGCGGUCGGCACGUUUUGGACCCUGGAUCUGCCGCUCACUCGCUCGGCGGUGUGGGCCGAUCGCCUUGAGAGGCCGCCUAUCCAUUGUCAAACCUCUUUGACCUGCUCUCUCCUUCAGCCUCUCCUGUUUCCACACAAAGACUCUCUAAUACCAGCGAACGAGGCUGCAGGGAGGCCCGGCCCCCCUCUCAUCUGCAGCCUGUUAUGGCGGAGCGGGAGGAUGACAUCAUAUUGGUCUCGGAGCGGCAGC
This is a long non-coding RNA of Gasterosteus aculeatus aculeatus (three-spined stickleback), 394 nucleotides long. The record is from Ensembl. NCBI's taxonomy places the organism in Eukaryota, Metazoa, Chordata, Actinopteri, Perciformes, Gasterosteidae.